AACCUAGCACACCUGCGGUGUGUACCUGCGGAGGGAUCAUUACUGAGUGUAAAAACUCCCAAACCCACUGUGAACAUACCACUGUUGCUUCGGCGGAUGCGCCCCGGGCGCGCCCUACAAAGGCGUGCCCCGGAUCAAGGCCACCGCCGGGGGACCGAAACUCUUGUUUUCCUAAGGAUUCUCUGAGUGUGAUUAUUAAAUCAAAUCAAAACUUUCAGCAAUGGAUCUCAGAUCGGAAGA
RNAcentral lists this unclassified non-coding RNA (240 nucleotides) under soil metagenome. RNAcentral's name for it is "partial contains 5.8S ribosomal RNA, internal transcribed spacer 2, and large subunit ribosomal RNA". The record is from RNAcentral.